This 139-nucleotide ribosomal RNA is filed under the name uncultured bacterium. Its description in RNAcentral is "partial 16S ribosomal RNA". It matches the Rfam family "Bacterial small subunit ribosomal RNA", at positions 355 to 509 of the family's 1533-position model. The record is from RNAcentral.
UGGGGAAUAUUGCACAAUGGGGGGAACCCUGAUGCAGCGACGCCGCGUGAGGGAAGAAGGUUUUUCGGAUUGUAAACCUCUGUCUUUGGUGACGAAAGAUGACGGUAGCCAAAGNGGAAGCUACGGCUAACUACGUGCC